UUCCGGUUGGAGCGAGCGGCCGCAUCUACACUUCGGUCCGCAGGGCCGACAGACAAGUUCCUGACUUUUCCUUACUGAAUAAAGGGGAAAAGGCCAUUCUUGAACACGGGAGAAUAUGGCAGUACGUCCAACCCGGCCUCACAACCGCAGACCACGUGUAACCACGCCAGCCCAGGACGUCCCUUCCAGCUUCUUCACCUGCGGGAUCAUCUGAGACCAGCCAUCCAGACAGCUGAUGAAACUGAAGAGUAUUUGUGUCUGUAAUAAAACUCAUUCUGAUUGGCUGGGCCUAGCUCUUAAGGGGGGGGCUAUGCAGGCCCACCCAUGGAUGCCACCCUGCCCAGUCAUGUGAAAUUCAUAGAUUAGGGCCUAAUGAAUGUAUUUCGAUUGACUGAUUUCCUUCUAUGAACUGUAACUCAGUAAAAUAGUUGAAAUUGUUCUAUGUUGCGUUUAUGUUUUUGUUCAGUAUACAUUUUUGUUCAACACAUUCAGCAGAAAAUAGCUUCAUUUUCAUCAGAUGAUAACAGAAGUACAAUGCUAUUUGUCUGGCAGCCUCACAAGUAAAUGAGUUUACAAUGAAAAAGCAAGGUAUUUUGGGCAAAAAAAGGAUGCAUUGCCAUCAUAUUUCUAAUGUUUAUCGUAAACAGAAUGUAUCCAGCUACAUUUCCUAAAGUUUUGCUUAAAGUCAAUCUUGCAUUAUACCGUAAAAAAUAGUCUACAUGGAAAAGUACCAGAGAAAACUAGUCUAUAUGGAAAACCAACAGAGAAAAAUAGUCUAUAUGGAAAAGUACCAGAGAAAGAAAAGUAGCUACACAUUAGUCAGAGCUCUGUCAUCCGAGUGGAGAAGUGCAACUGAAGCACAAAAUGUGUCUGAUGCCGAGCAGAAAUGACAAUAAGAAGCACUUUAGAUCUGCAUCUUCAAAACGCAGCAAGAUAUUUCUUAUGUGUUUAAUAUAUUUGUCUGCGUGUAAAUCGCAGCAUUCUGCAUUAAUGCGUCCCAUUAACUUGCUAGUUAUCUCAGUAAGUGGCUGAAUUCAUAAGGAGACGGAGCAUCAUAUCGUGUCAUCUAUCUGCCGUGUUUGAGAAAUCUGUACAACUGCCUGCUAUCUUGAUUUUAUGGUGUUUUUUUCUCCUCUCCGUUCUUGGCCCGUCUGCUAUUGCCCCAUCUUCUUGCCCCAUCUUCUUUGAGCAGAGCAGGCAGGACUGUUGCCCUAGCGACUCCAGACUCCACACAGACACAGCAUGUACCACGAGUGAAAAAUCUAUGUUAACCUCUUUCAGUUCAUAUGACUUCUAAUGUGUUGAAGGAUCUCUUGAAGUUUAUGCUUGUGUGUGUGGGUGUGCAACCACACACCCUCUGGGCAGACAGCAAAACGUGUUUGCUUGACCCCAAUCAGGAAACUGUUGAUUUUCAGAGAAACUGAACUGAUUUCCUGUUGUUUUGAGAUCUCACUUAAAGAGUAGAAUAACUAGCUGUUGUUUUGAGAUCUCACUAGAAGAGUAGAAUAACUAGCUGUUGUUUUGAGAUCUCACUAGAAGAGUAGAAUAACUAGCUGUUGUUUUGAGAUCUCACUAGAAGAGUAGAAUAACUAGCUGUUGUUUUGAGAUCUCACUAGAAGAGUAGAAUAACUAGCUGUUGUUUUGAGAUCUCACUAGAAGAGUAGAAUAACUAGCUGUUGUUUUGAGAUCUCACUAGAAGAGUAGAAUAACUAGCUGUUGUUUUGAGAUCUCACUAGAAGAGUAGAAUAACUAGUUGUUGUUUUGAGAUCUCACUAGAAGAGUAGAAUAACUAGCUGUUGUUUUGAGAUCUCACUAGAAGAGUAUCCAAUUUGUAAGUCGCUCUGGAUAAGAGCGUCUGCUAAAUGACUUAAAUGUAAUGUAAAUGUAGAAUAACUAGCUGUUGUUUUGAGAUCUCACUAGAAGAGUAGAAUAACUAGCUGUUGUUUUGAGAUCUCAAUGGAAGAGUAGAAUAACUAGCUGUUGCUACAGAACGAGACGACCAAUUUACAGUUAGUCUGCACCUUCUACCAUAGUUUAGUCUCAUUCACCACACAUGAACACAUACCAAGAUGUUUUGUGUGUGCUUGUGUAAAAUAGUUUGACUAUAUAAGUCUUCUGUACUCAUUGUGUCAUCGAGCUCUCAGCCUUACACUUCAGAGUGCAUGACUGACCAGCUUCAUUAUUGCAAUUCUUAUUAAUAAAGAUUGAUUGUUUGAAGAAAUAACAAAGUCUCUCGCAAUUGGUUAGAAUU
Molecule: long non-coding RNA, 2251 nt
Organism: Oncorhynchus masou masou (cherry salmon)
Lineage: Eukaryota; Metazoa; Chordata; Actinopteri; Salmoniformes; Salmonidae
Exons: 3
Source: RefSeq, a predicted model, not a curated record